RNAcentral lists this ribosomal RNA (253 nucleotides) under uncultured bacterium. RNAcentral describes it as "partial 16S ribosomal RNA". It matches the Rfam family "Bacterial small subunit ribosomal RNA", at positions 524 to 776 of the family's 1533-position model. The record is from RNAcentral.
UACAGAGGUGGCAAGCGUUGUUCGGAAUUACUGGGCGUAAAGCGCGUGUAGGCGGCCUUGCAAGUUGGGUGUGAAAGCCCUCGGCUUAACCGAGGAAGUGCGCCCAAAACUACAAGGCUUGAGUACCGGAGAGGGCGGCGGAAUUCCCGGUGUAGAGGUGAAAUUCGUAGAUAUCGGGAGGAACACCAGUGGCGAAGGCGGCCGCCUGGACGGAUACUGACGCUGAGACGCGAAAGCGUGGGGAGCAAACAGG